CCUACGGGCGGCAGCAGUGGGGAAUAUUGGGCAAUGGGCGCAAGCCUGACCCAGCAACGCCGCGUGAAGGAAGAAGGCUUUCGGGUUGGAAACUUCUUUUGGCAGGGAAGAGGAGAAGACGGUACCUGACGAAUAAGCCAUGGCUAACUACGUGCCAGCAGCCGCGGUAAUACGUAGGUGGCAAGCGUUGUCCGGAUUUACUGGGGUUAAAGGGCGUGUAGCCGGGUUGACAAGUCAGAUGUGAAAUCCUGCGGCUUAACCGCAGAACUGCAUUUGAAACUGUUGAUCUUGACUACUGGAGAGGCAGGUGGAAUUCCUAGUGUAGCGGUGAAAUGCGUAGAUAUUAGGCGGAACACCAGUGGCGAAGGCGGUCUGCUGGACCGCAACUGACGGUGAGGCGCGAAAGCGUGGGGAGCAAACAGGAUUAGAUACCCGAGUAGUC
This 442-nucleotide ribosomal RNA is filed under the name uncultured bacterium. Its description in RNAcentral is "partial 16S ribosomal RNA". It matches the Rfam family "Bacterial small subunit ribosomal RNA", at positions 338 to 795 of the family's 1533-position model. The record is from RNAcentral.